Phodopus roborovskii (desert hamster) is the source of this 196-nucleotide small nuclear RNA. RefSeq annotates it as U2 spliceosomal RNA. Lineage: Eukaryota; Metazoa; Chordata; Mammalia; Rodentia; Cricetidae. The record is from RefSeq and is a predicted model, not a curated record. The transcript has a single exon.
AUUAAUUCUAUUGCCUUUCAGUAUCCUGGUAAAGAUAAGUCUAGAACUGUGUGUAUCAGUUUAAAUGUGAUAAUCCUCUACCCAAGGAGAAUAUAUUAAGUGGAUUUUGGAAGCAGGGAGAUGGGCCAGGAGCUCACCCCAACCUCUCCACACAUUACCCUGGGACUGUAGUACUUCCAGAAAUAGCACAUCCUUC